GCGGGGGUGUUGUAACGGUAGCCAAGCAUGUUUAAGGAACAUGUGUCGAAAGACGUGGAGGUUCGAUUCCUCUCCCCCGCA
RNAcentral lists this transfer RNA (81 nucleotides) under Ignavibacteria bacterium. Its description in RNAcentral is "tRNA-Leu". It matches the Rfam family "tRNA". Rfam says of the family: Transfer RNA (tRNA) molecules are approximately 80 nucleotides in length. Their secondary structure includes four short double-helical elements and three loops (D, anti-codon, and T loops). Further hydrogen bonds mediate the characteristic L-shaped molecular structure. tRNAs have two regions of fundamental functional importance: the anti-codon, which is responsible for specific mRNA codon recognition, and the 3' end, to which the tRNAs corresponding amino acid is attached (by aminoacyl-tRNA synthetases). tRNAs cope with the degeneracy of the genetic code in two manners: having more than one tRNA (with a specific anti-codon) for a particular amino acid; and 'wobble' base-pairing, i.e. permitting non-standard base-pairing at the 3rd anti-codon position. Lineage: Bacteria; Pseudomonadati; Ignavibacteriota; Ignavibacteria. The record is from RNAcentral.